GCCCCGAACCCAACACCCGGGUCGGAUACGUGGUGGCCGCACACUCCUUAGAGCAAGCCCUAAAGAAUAUGCAAGGCCAAAAUAAAUCAUUACAACCUUAACAUCCAUAACAAUUAAUUUCAAUAAUAAUUCAUAAAACCUUGCAUAAUUACAAUUUAAAUUUCUUCAAUUCUCUGAUCAGAUACUAUGACACUAUUUAUCCUUCUGCUCA
This 211-nucleotide long non-coding RNA is filed under the name Elaeis guineensis (African oil palm). RNAcentral describes it as "long non-coding RNA (EGUI_LNC038441)". The record is from RNAcentral. Lineage: Eukaryota; Viridiplantae; Streptophyta; Magnoliopsida; Arecales; Arecaceae.